Long non-coding RNA from Astatotilapia calliptera (eastern happy), 2511 nucleotides. Lineage: Eukaryota; Metazoa; Chordata; Actinopteri; Cichliformes; Cichlidae. The record is from Ensembl.
GUCGCAGCCUGCACGUGUGAGGGAGAGGACAUCGUGUCGGUCCUUUGCAAAAUCCACAAAGAGACAGGGAGAGAAGGAGGGUGGACACUCUGUAGUCUCGAGUAUCCGAGCUUUUGCGCUAUUUCCUCUCGGAUGCGAUUAAACCUAGACGCACAGGUGAAUUAAAACCCCAGGGUGGAAUUUGAAAUAUUUGGAGGAUAUGGACUGGUGGAGUGGAGUUAGCCUGGUGUGCAAAAAAAUGCCGGGAAUUUCAGCCCCUUAUUUAUCACCUCACAAUGAAGUCAAGCUGCCACCAGACAAGAUGAGGAGCAGCAAUCAGCCUGCAGAUGGAAACAAGGGUGGGUGGUUGGAAGGCUGGAUAAAGGCUGCUGGAUGACUGAACUCAGAGACCCGGCGCAGCUCAUCAUCAUUGCCAUGGGCUCUUGUCUUCUUCCUCUCCUCCUGUGGCUUGUACCUCCAUCCAGGGGUCCAGUAGAGCCAGUGAAGCCCAGGCGGGGAGCUAGUGAGUGGGCCGGGAAGGAUGGAGAAGGUCCCCAAAGGCUCAGAUCACCUCUGGAGCUACCGGCAUGCAGGAGAAAUCAAUAUGAAACAGAAAACCUUCACAGCUCUGAGUGGGGUUUCCUGUGUUUUAAGUGUGUGGCCUACGGGCCUGCAGACCUCCAAAAGACAGGUCCUGUGUGGUUCUCUCAGCUGCAGCCCUGGCUCCUUGGACUGGACCUCAGUCCCAAUCUCCACUGGCUGUGUGUGUGGUUCUGCUGAAGGGGAUUUCUCCCCAAAUAAUACCCAAUGCCCAGAACGUUGAAAGACUGCCAAGAGGGAUGCUCCUUUCUCUUGCCUUUUUUUUCCAUCAUAAGAUUGACGUAUCCCCCCAACCUCCUGCCUCGGGCUGAUAAAAAAAAAAAACAAAAUAAAAAAAAAAACACAGUUCGGGAGCUCUACUUUUGACUCAUUCUCCAUCCUCGACUCGCCCGUUGUUUAUUCCCCCAACUAGUUUUUACAUUUGACAAAGAGACAGAUCUUUAUUUUCUCUACCACUCGCUUGGCUUGCUGUUACUAUGGUGAGCUGUAGACACGUGUCUGUUCAAACAAGAAAUACUGGCACACGAAGUAUGAGCUUUUUUUUUUCUCCAUGAUGUCUAUUAUUCAAUUUCAGACUGUUUAAAAAAAACUGACUGAACAGCAAAGAGGGCUGGAGAUCAUAGAGCAGAGAGACCUUGUAGUGGAGAUGGUAAAAUGAUUGACGGCGCAGGAGAAAAAUCUGCUUGCGUUUGGCUCAAAGACCAGGCCUGUUCAUCUGUUGUUUUUCUGGUGUAUAACAAAACCUCAGAAACAAAGAUUUUGUUGUAAUAUGGGUUAACAUUGAUAUUUUAAAAACACCAAAAAAAAAAUGUUAUUUCAUUGUCUCUUAAGAUGUACUUUAUUGCCAACAAGCAUCUGGGGUUGAAUAAAGAAAUGUAUUUAAAGCUUUUAAAUAUAUAUUGUUUAUUGAGAGCCUUGUGUUUUGUUUGCUGUCCACUGCUGUAUUUGAUGCUCGUCAUUCGGCAAGAGUAUAGAGAAAAAUUUGAACUAAUUUUUUUAAUAAAAAGUCAGAUUGAUCACACCGCACUUUUAUUUUUGUGCCAGUUUUACAAUAAAGACUUUGUGUCUAAUGUAUAUAUAUGUGUGUGUAUAAACGCGCGGUCAAUAAAGUAACAUUAAUUUGAACCUCCUAUUUCCAGCUUUUUUUUUUUAUUACUUAGUUUUCAUUCUAAAUGCACAUUUCCCUAAAAUAUCUAAUAAGUCUAAUUUGGGCAUGAAGCUGUCACAUAUUUUUAUAAAGACCAAAAAAUGAUGGUGAAACUGAUUUUUUAACAUUCAGUUUAUUUUCUCACAUUUAUUUCAUUCAUUAUCGUAAGUCUAGCGCACUUAUAGCUAUUUACAAAACAAUACUACCUCCAGUGUCUUGUUACAUAAAGAAAUAUGCAAUAGAGAAAACUCACACAAUAACAUUUUCACUACAGUUAUUCUGACUUUUUGACAAACGUGGAAGUUUUUUUUGUUUGUUUGUUUUUUUAUUUGAUUUGUCUCAAUUUGCUGGUUUAGUGCAGAGGAAUAAACAGAAAUAUUAAAUCUUUUUGUUUUUACUUUUUAAAAAUUAUUUUUGUGUAGGCCCACACAUGCUAUUUGCCAUAAAAGACUGGUCUGUUUGUGCCUUUUUAAAUCAAACAGUGAAUGUAGAAUUUCUUUUCUUCUAGCUCAGCAAAAUUAGGCCCACACCAAACUGUGCUCAGACUCAGAGUGUAGUAGGUCAGGAAGAUUGGAAUAUUUGCAUUUUAAACAAACUGGCUUUUUGAAGCAUUUAAACAAAAAGGGGGGGAAAAGAUCGGGUUUUGAAGUUUUUAGCUACAUAUCUUUGACGUGGUUAAAAAACAAAAAUGCUCGCUAUACUGUCUACAGCACAGUUUUAAUAUUACUAACCAGAAAAGCAGGUGUAUUUGUAAAUCAAACACAAGGAGCUUAAUGGUAUAUUAU